GAUGAACGCUGGCGGUGUGCCUAAUACAUGCAAGUCGUACGCAUUCUCGUUUCUGAUUGACGGUGCUUGCACCUAAUUGACGAGACAUUGGAAUGAGUGGCGGACGGGUGAGUAACACGUGGGUAACCUGCCCAGAAGUGGGGGAUAACAUUUGGAAACAGAUGCUAAUACCGCAUAAAAGUCAAAACCACAUGGUUUUGAUUUAAAAGAUGGCCUUUGUGCUAUCACUUCUGGAUGGACCCGCGGCGUAUUAGCUAGUUGGUAAGGUAACGGCUUACCAAGGCAAGAAUACGUAGCCGCACUGAGGGGUUGAUCGGCCACAAUGGGGAUGAGACACGGCCCAUACUACGACGGGAGGCAGCAGUAGGGAAUCUUCCACAAUGGGCGCAAGCCUGAUGGAGCAACACCGCGUGAGUGAAGAAGGGUUUCGGCUCGUAAAACUCUGUUGUUAAAGAAGAACGUAUCUAAGAGUAACUGCUUAGGUAGUGACGGUAUUUAACCAGAAAGCCACGGCUAACUACGUGCCAGCCGCCGGUAA
This 538-nucleotide ribosomal RNA is filed under the name uncultured bacterium. RNAcentral describes it as "partial 16S ribosomal RNA". It matches the Rfam family "Bacterial small subunit ribosomal RNA", at positions 28 to 523 of the family's 1533-position model. The record is from RNAcentral.